This 487-nucleotide ribosomal RNA is filed under the name uncultured bacterium. RNAcentral's name for it is "bacterial SSU rRNA". It matches the Rfam family "Bacterial small subunit ribosomal RNA", at positions 8 to 526 of the family's 1533-position model. The record is from RNAcentral.
AGAGUUUGAUCAUGGCUCAGGAUGAACGCUGGCGGCGUGCCUAACACAUGCAAGUCGAACGCUCCGCAAGGGGAGUGGCGCACGGGUGAGGAACACGUAGCUGAUGUGCCUUCGAGACCGGAAUAACGUUCCGAAAGGGAUGCUAAGACCGGAUAAGCUCCCGGUGGUUAGAGGACUGGGAGAAAAGAUUUAUCGCUCGAAGAGCAGGCUGCGGCCUAUCAGGUAGUUGGUGGGGUAACAGCCCACCAAGCCGACGACGGGUAAGGGGUCUGAGAGGAUGACCCCUCACACUGGGACUGAGACACGGCCCAGACUCCUACGGGAGGCAGCAGUGAGGGAUAUUGCACAAUGGGGGCAACCCUGAUGCAGCGACGCCGCGUGGGUGAUGACGGUCUUCGGAUUGUAAAGCCCUUUUAGGCAUGACGAGAACGGACGGUAGUGCCUGAAGAAGUCUCGGCUAACUACGUGCCAGCAGCCGCGGUAAUAC